RNAcentral lists this ribosomal RNA (619 nucleotides) under Salmonella enterica subsp. enterica serovar Bareilly. RNAcentral describes it as "partial 23S ribosomal RNA". It matches the Rfam family "Bacterial large subunit ribosomal RNA", at positions 711 to 1326 of the family's 2925-position model. Lineage: Bacteria; Pseudomonadati; Pseudomonadota; Gammaproteobacteria; Enterobacterales; Enterobacteriaceae. The record is from RNAcentral.
AGACCCGAAACCCGGUGAUCUAGCCAUGGGCAGGUUGAAGGUUGGGUAACACUAACUGGAGGACCGAACCGACUAAUGUUGAAAAAUUAGCGGAUGACCUGUGGCUGGGGGUGAAAGGCCAAUCAAACCGGGAGAUAGCUGGUUCUCCCCGAAAGCUAUUUAGGUAGCGCCUCGUGAAUUCAUCUCCGGGGGUAGAGCACUGUUUCGGCUAGGGGGCCAUCCCGGCUUACCAACCCGAUGCAAACUGCGAAUACCGGAGAAUGUUAUCACGGGAGACACACGGCGGGUGCUAACGUCCGUCGUGAAGAGGGAAACAACCCAGACCGCCAGCUAAGGUCCCAAAGUCAUGGUUAAGUGGGAAACGAUGUGGGAAGGCCCAGACAGCCAGGAUGUUGGCUUAGAAGCAGCCAUCAUUUAAAGAAAGCGUAAUAGCUCACUGGUCGAGUCGGCCUGCGCGGAAGAUGUAACGGGGCUAAACCAUGCACCGAAGCUGCGGCAGCGACACUCAGGUGUUGUUGGGUAGGGGAGCGUUCUGUAAGCCUGUGAAGGUGUGUCGUGAGGCAUGCUGGAGGUAUCAGAAGUGCGAAUGCUGACAUAAGUAACGAUAAAGCGGGUGAAA